UCGCCUUUAGAUUUGGGAGCACCGCCAGAAGCCGCCAUAGCCAUCUACCGCCGCCGUCCCCGCUUAGCACCCGUGGUGCGCUCCCGGACAACUCGACGGUGGUGUGGACCGUGUCUAGGGGAAAUUGGGCGCGUGGAACCUCUGUGUGGAGGGAAUUGCUCGCUGGCCCUUACUAUCCGCCGUCAAGCCGCCCCGCUUCGUGGGCAGUCUCGUCAUCAAGCCAAUUGUGAGUACAAACCUCCUACCUGGAUCUACCGUCGUCCUAGCUUUAUUUGGCACCUAGCGUCUCGGGUAAUGGCGCACCGUAUGUCAUCGGAGGGUCUCCUAGCCAUGGCGCGCCGACGCGGCCUCACUGUUGGUCACCGACGUUCAACCGGGAGGAGGAAGACGCGAUUUGGGCCGUCGAUCGCGCGAUAUGGGGCUAGGAUUACAUUAAAUGUAACGAUUCGGUCGGAUGUGCCAUGUGCCGUCUGAUCCUGAUCGAGCGGGCGAGAGUUGGUUUUAGGGUUUUUAAAUCUGGAACGUCAUAUUUGUAUCGAUCGGCUGGUAUCGUGUACCGGUUCGCAGGGAGCUUAUCUAAUCUAUGACGUUCCUUUUAGAUCGGGCGGCUCUAGGUGACUGGUGCCCUUCGGCCGAUGCAAAAUAACAAAAGAGCCCCUCUAAAAUCUUGAAAACAACUCGCGGUCCACAUAGAUGGGUUCUGAGUCUAGGGAAUUUUGCGCAGGAGCCCCUGUGCUUUCAGUUAUUCAUGCACGCAGACUGAGGAAAUUAGAAACCCGGGAAAUUAAAGCAGAAAAGGCUUUUCUUAUGUAAAAAUAAAUCCAGAAAUUGUUUAAUCCCUAGAAAAUUCAUAUUAAGUCCAAAUUGGUCCAUUCUAGUUUCUAUAAUUUUGUGAUAAUGUUGUUCAUCACAUAAUGUCUUUGUUUUGACAUGAAAAUUGUAUUAAAAUUUAUCUCUUAAUUAAUCUUGUAUCAAGCACAUAAAACCUUUGGAAAUUCAUAACUUAAAAUUCAUAACUCCAAAUUUAAUGAUUCUUUUUCCUGUGAUCUUAUUUUAAUAUGUAGAUUAUUAAUAUGUAUUUUGUAUACAUGUUUGGUGUGAUGUUAGUUUCCUCUUUAUACUAUGCUUGUUUGUAUUGUGGCGAGUAGAAGAGCCAGCAGCUGAGGAUCCGGGUGUUCAGCAGGUAGAAGUUGCUGAACAGGAGCUCGUUGAAGGCAAGUUGUGCCCUUGACCACUUUUAUUACCCAAUAAUGUUCUUUAUAAUCAUUUAUUCCUGCAUAGGUUUAAUUUUGAUGGGACCCAAUUGGUCACCCUAGACUGGUUAUCCUUUUACCUUGUUCACCCCUGAAUCAUUUGGGUAGUUUUGCUAUUGCUCUAUUUGGUUUUGGGAUUAAUAUUACAUUAUGUCCAUGUUCCAAUUAUUCUGUUAUUUUAUUUAUUAUUCAUGUCAAGAUCAUUAUUUUUAAUUGGAACAUGGAGCUUAACUUGAGAAACACGUGCCACCACAAGGGUGGAAUGGGACGUCCUUGGCUGACUAACUAGGAAAGCUAGUGGAGGACUACCUUACCCGAUAGGGGCAAGGGCAAUAGGGGAGUAGGCGUGUAGGGAGGUUCCCGGGUAGAUUUUCUGCGAUGGCAGUCAGACGGGGAUUCCUGCAUUGCUCUUCCUAGAACUGUAGCAGGUUUUCUAAAGCUAGUGGAACUUUGUAAAGGCCUCGUAGUGUUACCCUGCCUCGCUUCCUUGGUAGAGGUGUAUAGGAGUCGCGAUCCCUUGGAAGAUGGGUAACAUGACUUGUGGGUACAGGGUACAACCACUGUAGAGUGUAAAACUGGUAUACUAGCCGUGCUCGCGGUCAUGAGCAGCUCAGGACUCUCGCAUGAUUAAACUAUGAAACUAAAUUCAAUUUGUCAUUCGCAUUGCAUGGGAUUUAUUAUUAAUUUUGUUCUAUUAUUUCUAUUAUGGUUUAGUAUUUAUUUACAUCUAGUAAUUUCUAAUAAAAUUUGACCAACCUAUUAAAAGCAAUGCUCAGCUUUAACCCUAUUGUUGAUCAGCCUUACACAUCACAUGAACUCCCACCUUUGGUGGGUUCAUGCACAUUAUUCCCCACGAUUUGUUGAGAUAUGAUCUUUUGUGAGCUCACACUUGCGAUAUAUAAACCCCCACAGGAGAAGAACAGGUGGCCUAGGAGGAGCCGCACAACGAGGAGUUUGACUUGAUCUAGGUGACGUCUCCCAGUCGACUUUAUGACGCUAAGGAUGGACUUUAGUUCGCUUUAUAUUUAUCUUUUAUUUUCAUAAUACUUCCGCUAUACAAUAAUUACGUUUAUGAUAUUGUGACAUUUAUCUCUAUACACUAUGUUAUUAUGUGUGUUGUUCUUCUUUGGCGCACAUAUGAGAUGCACCCGGCUUUAUCCCUCAAAUCCGGGUGUGACACAUUGGCUGUUUUAAGGACUUAUUGAUCAUUACUUCACCUCAUCCUUGAUGCUGUUUCAGAAUAUUAGUCACCUCGACUAAUUCUAUGUGCUCCUAUAUGCCCCCUUGCUAAAAGUAUUUUAUUCUAGUAUGGUCCAUACUUUUCUCAACCUAUUAGAUCUAAUCUCACUCUUGUGCUUGCAACAUCUUUAUAGAUGCCCCUGACCAUAACCUUCUAGCCUUUUGGGAUUCAUUUCUCUUCCAUUGUUAAAUUGCUACCAUUUGACCAUCUCUAUUCCCUUGGUAUUGACAUGCUCGUAUCCCUAAAUUCUUCAAUACUCUUGUUUCAAAUGCUUACAUCAGAAUUUCUACUGCCUACUUAAACAUUUCAGUUUAUAUAUCCAUGAUCGUUUAUCCAUGAUCUUCAUGUCUUUUGAGACCCUUUCCUAUUCCGUUGUUAGGUCGUUAUCUUUCAGCAAUUUCCAAUUCCUUGGUCUUGAUGUGCUCGUGUCCUUGGAGUCUUGCAUAUUCUCAUAUUUUUUAUGGAUGCUUGUCUUCAUACCCCAAAAUGUUUGUUUAAGACAUUUUAGUUAUCAUGCCCUUGACCACCCUUGCUUAUUACUGGUCCAUGCGCGACCAUUCUAUUUCUGACAUCCUUGAAGAUCUCAUCAUUUCCUUAUAACUUCCCUUCGUAAUAAUUUAUGUUACUUCAACCAUUCUGUUGGAACCUUAGCUAUCUCACCCUUGAUUGUCUUAUCCACUUUGCCACUUCAUGAGUCUUGCCUUAACUCUAUCCUUAGCUAUCUCACGAUUAUCAUCUUUACCCUUGUCACCUCUAUAUCUUACCUUGAUGCUUAUAUUAUACCCGUCCUUUAAAACCUUCUCUCUUCCAUCUCAAUUUUAUAGUUGUAUUUUACCUAUUUUCCCUUGGUCAUAUCCUCUUCCUUGUCGCUUGCGAGUUUUAAACUCCAUCCUUUGUUGUGUUUCGGUUGGGUAUUACAUUUACCUUUCUCAUCUCUCGAUCUUACCUUGGUGAUUACACUAUGUCCGUUCUCUAAAAUCUCCAAUCUCCUAUCCCGAAUUUGAGGGCGGUGUUCUACUUAUCUUACCCUUGGUAAUAUCAUCUUCUUUACCGCGUGAAAGCCUGGACGUAACUCCAUUUUUUGUUGUACACAUACUGCUGGCUCUUCAAUGCCUUCAUCUUUUCUCUCAUACCCUUGUCUAUUAUCGCCUUUGACCCUUGCGAUAUUGAUGUCUUCUACCUGAAUGCUUACCUUGAACUUAUCCUUUAAAAGCCUCCCCUUUCUUUCAACCCAGUUUGAGAGCUGUGAGUUACCUAUCUCUCACUUGAUUUCUUUUCACUCCUUGUCGCCUUACAAGUUUUGUCCUAAUUCCAUCCCUUUUGCUGUGUUUUUAUUUGCUAUCACCCUCACCUUGUCAUCCAUCGAUCUUGCCUUGAUAUUCAUCUUUAUUCCUACUCUUUAAAGAUUUCCUCUAUUCCACCUCAAUUUGAGAGUGGCAAUUUACCUAUCUGGCCCUUGGACGUACCCUCUCAUUUUCCACUUGCAGAUCCUGUCUUAACUCCAUCCUUUGUGGCACUUAUAUCAUUGGUUCUUAUGCCCAUUUACCUCCCCUUCUACAUCGUUGUUCGUUAUCACCUUUAAACCCUCGUGAUAUCUAUGUCCUUACCUUCAUGAUUAUUUUGAACCUACCCUUUAAAGCCUUCUCUUUUCCAUCCCUGUUUGAGGAUAAUGCCUCACCUACUUCAACAUUGACUGCUCCCCCUUCUUUGACGUCUUGCAUGUUUUGUCUAAAAUACAUCCUUGUUGUCUACUUGCCCGUUAAUACCCUCACCCUUGUCAUCCCUCGACCAUUACCCUGAUGCUUAUCCCGUACCAGCAUUUUAAAGCCUCCUCUCUCCCAUUUCAGUUCGAGAAUGUUGUUUUACCUAUCACGCCCUGGAUUGUUUUGUUUUCUUUGUCGCUUUGCAAGCCUUGUAUUACACUAGCUCCAUCUUUUGGUGGUGCUUUGGUUUGUUAUCACCCUUACCUUUGUAGUCCCUAUAUUGUACCUUGAUGCUUAUCUUAUGUCUGCCUUGUGAAAUCUCCUCUUUUCCAUCUCAAUUUGAUAGUGGUGUUAUACCUAUCCUGCCCUUAGUUGUAUCCUCUUCCUUGUUAAUUACAAUUCAUGCUUUGGUUUCAUCCUUUCUGGUGCUCAUGCCCCUAUUCUUCAUGCCUUAUCAUCCCCCUUGCCUUUCGAUGGCCUUAGAGUAGUUUCCCCUUGAUAAGGAAAGACCACCAUCUAGCUAACAUUAACGUAUAGCAACAAAAUGUUUGUUGUUGUAUGCUUGUGCUGGUUGUCUUUGUGUUAUGACUGAUUUGCUUCUUUGCGAUGAGUGUUGACGUGUUGUGGCCCUUGGUUUGCAAUGACAUCAAUUAACUAGGUGAGUAUCAUAUAGUUAGGUAGUUGGGUUCUCUCCCCUUCUUUCUUGAAUCCAUCUAUGCUCACCUUUUCUAUCUAUACCCUUUCCUCUUGCACCUGUCCAGUUGGCAACCUCCGACAUCUCUUAAUCAGUCAAGAUCAGAGUUGGCAACAUCUUCAUCAAGUGCGUAUCAACGCUCCUGUUAAGGGGGUUAGCUGCUAACCCCAAUGAAGACAAAUGCGAUCAACAUCAAACAACAAGAUCAGAGUGGCAUAGCAGAAGUGUGUGUGGGUCCUAACCCACAGGUCCUAGGAUCCGCAAGAAUUGUCUCAGUUGGUCAUGAACAUAUGAAGGUCAAAGAAGCCAGUCCGCAAGUUAAGCUUGCAGAGUCAAUGUCAACUCAAGAAAGUCGUGGACAACGUAUGAACCAACCUUGUCGUUCUUGCUAGCCUCUUCUUGAAUCUCAGGGGCAAGAUUCUGUUAAGGGGGUUAGAUUUGUAACACCCUUAAUUUGGGGUAUAAAAUUCCUUUUCCGAUAUCCACCAAAUUCAGGUGUUACCCUCUCCUUUACCUGCUUUUCUUCUCUUUUUCCUAAAUAAUGGAGAGUUAUUUUAUUAUAUAUAUAAGUUCUUAACUUAGUAAAAUUAAAUCCUAGAGAAGCUUUGAUUGUUACAUUCAUGCCAUUGCAUAAUGUUUAUAAGUGCAAAGGUCUUCGAAACAUAACAAAUUAUCUUGUGAAUGUUUCUAAGAAUUUUUGUGAGCCUUUAAAUUAUUUCCCACGUGUCAUACAUGAAUAUCAUUCUUUUUCGAGAAUUAACUAAAAAUAUUCUGGAAACCCAAUAAUAGAUAUUUACCUCUCUCAUCGAAUUUGUUCUAGAUCUCGUGUCAUUUUCACGAGAUCGCCAAACCUCCUUUUCCACUCGCAAACGGCGAACUGCUCGCAUCUGCCCCGCCGUCUAUCCAGGCGAUUACCCUCAUUUGCCCUAGCAUCUAUCCCUGUCUACCUCCAUCAACUCCACCUCGCCUCGUCCAAGCAAACAUCAUCACACGUGCAACCGCCUCUCUCGCUCGGUCAUGACGUGAUCCACUGUAAAUUUGACAACCACCUCUCGCUCCCUCUCCUUUUUAUAUAUACACACCCCCAUGUUGUGAACAUUGUCUUCCUCCUCUCACAUGCAGUAUCACGCCAUCCACCCCGCGCCCUUUCUCCCAUGCACUACACCAUGGUGGGGGGAGCCCUCGUUCAAGCGGCAUCAUCUUCCUCGCAUCCGCUCCGCCAACCGUCAUUUAGCCUGCGUAGGUGAGGAACCGCCUUCUUCUUCCUCUCUCCCAUGCCCUUCUUUGCGUUUCCAUGGUCGAGGCCCGUGGACGAGCCGUCCAGCCACUCCCCAGUGCGGUGGCGCCCCCCCCUCGGGUCCCUGCAGGCGCACAUGGGCGCUAUUGAGGCCAGCCGGCGUGGCGGCCCAACGAGUAGCCAGCGCUGCGCACGCAUCGGCCAGCCUCGGCCGAGCCUCCCCUGCCACGCCACGCCACUCGCAUGGUGCUGCUGUGUCGCCACAAGCCAUGGCCUCGUGCCCUACUGCGCUGCACGCCGCUCAGCCCCGACUCCGGCGAGCAGAUGCCACCGCCGUAGAGCCGCCAUCGUCGGCGCUGCAUCCGCUUCGGUAGGCGAUUCCCCUGCUGUAGCCGUUCGUGCAAUAGGGAAUAGGGAAAAAAGAAACCGCCUGUGGGCCCUACCCACAAGCAUGCACCAUGCCUCCGUGAAUCCUGUGAUCGCAUGUGACCAAGCCAAGGAACCGCUCCACACAUGCAGAGAAAAUGUGGCCACGUGGCAGCUCCCGGUUGGCCCGUGCAUGGCUGUGGCCACACCGGAUCUCACCUCCACGAUCCACUGUGGCCACAUCGGUUAGCGAUUCGAGCAUAUCGUCGCACUGUUCGAGCGUCGUCCACGCGUGUCGCGCGUGCUGUUUUGCAUGGCGCGCGUGCUGUUCGCGCACGUCGUAACGCGUCGUUCGCGCGCUGUUUCACGCAUUGUCGCGUUUCGCGCGCGAUAUUUAACCGUUCGCUUAUAAUCACUUAUGUAAGUUAAUUAACUACUCGUUUAAUCGUCCACUAUAAAAAUAGUAAAUUAGUCAAAACUAAGUAGUUUUAAUUUAUAUUUCAUAAAUGUCAAUUAUUAUAAUUACGUCGAAUCUAAUGUUUUAACUAUUACUGGUUUAGCGUAAACGCGAUAACUUCUCGACCGUAGCUUCGACUGUUGCGUUUCUUUACGUCGCGUGACCAUAGUAGCGAGCUCUAUUUUUGCAUGUUUUAUUAUGUUUUCUUUGAAUGGUAUAAUGUUUUUAUGCAUAUAUAUAUAUGUUUGUUUGCUUGUGCAUAUUCGUCUUCGCUUCGCGUUGCGAUUAGAUCGCGAUACGUUUCCAAGCUUCGAGGAAUCGACAAUCAAGCUUCGGCGACCAAGUGGUCAGGUUCUUCGAGUUCUACAAAGUUGA
RNAcentral lists this long non-coding RNA (7325 nucleotides) under Zea mays. RNAcentral's name for it is "long non-coding RNA (ZMAY_LNC004031)". The record is from RNAcentral. Lineage: Eukaryota; Viridiplantae; Streptophyta; Magnoliopsida; Poales; Poaceae.